GCUUCUUCUACUUGAUUUUGCAGAAAAAGAUAUAAAUCCUGCAUUUAUGACAUCACAGUUUGUUGCCAUGGAAUUUACUAUGCUAUUGCAAACACCCUGUUGUGAUUACAUGACAGCUUCCAAUCAGAGGAUAAAAUCUUUCCCAGUGAGAAAACACAUCUUGAAGUUAAGAAAAUAUGAAUGGGAGAAAUAAAUCAGUCUUUUUAAGUGCUGAGCACCAGCCUGAUACUAUACAGACAUGGAAUGAGACAUUUUUAACUUCACAGAGCUCACAAGUUGAUGUAGACAGACACAUUACAGGGGAGGCUUGCAGUAUGCCUGGCAGGAAUAUAGACUUGAAGCAGUUAUGAGACUGACUGUUGUUACAGUUGCAUUGCAGGAAGGAGCCAGUGAAAUAAUAAAAAGAGAGAGUUUGGAGAGCCACUGGUUAGAGAUGCUCUGUGUGCUUCAGAAGCAAGAAGAGCUAAGAAAAAAAGAGGAUGUGUUUGUAUAUGCAAAGGCAAGGUUGCUCCAUCAGCGUGAGCAAGCAACUGGGGCAUGGAUUGCAUUUCCAGGGAGACGAAGAGGGUGGCAAAGCAGUCAGAGGAGGCUGGGAAGGGCAAAUGCAUGAAGGGAGAGUCAGUGGAUAUUAGGGCAGAGGUGGAACCGCAGCUGUGCUGUGCAGACUUUGAAGGGCUGACUGCAUCCUGGCACAGGGAAGGUAGUGAGGAAUUCAAAAGUGUGGUUUACAUGAGCAAAGGAGACGGAUCUUGGUGUCUCAAAACACAGAAAGUUCCUGAAGAUCUCAAGGAUUUAAAGGAAUUAACACUGCUCUUUAAAAUACCUACCCAGCCUUUGUAUACAAAGAAAACAAACAUAAACAAAUAUAAGUGCUUUAAGAAGUCUAUAACAAUAAUUACCUUUUCUUUCACUUGUUCUUCCUUCAUCCAGAUUUUAUCCUAUUUCUUCUUUCUCGCUUGGUGUAAAUCUGAGAAAGAGCUGACAGAACACAAUAGAAAAUAUUUGCAUAUUACCUGAGAAAACUGCAAACAACAUACCCAAUCCAGUUAUAUAGAGCAUAACACAGUGUAAGGCAUAGGACAGAAGUUCAG
RNAcentral lists this long non-coding RNA (1091 nucleotides) under Anser brachyrhynchus (Pink-footed goose). RNAcentral's name for it is "lncRNA (ENSABRG00000020985.1)". The record is from RNAcentral. Lineage: Eukaryota; Metazoa; Chordata; Aves; Anseriformes; Anatidae.